Molecule: non-coding RNA, 747 nt
Filed under: Streptomyces acidiscabies
Lineage: Bacteria; Bacillati; Actinomycetota; Actinomycetes; Kitasatosporales; Streptomycetaceae
Description: Bacterial large subunit ribosomal RNA
Rfam family: Bacterial large subunit ribosomal RNA
Source: Rfam by way of RNAcentral
GUGGAGUCGUCGUUGAAAUACCAGUCUGGUCGUGCUGGAUGUCUAACCUGGGUCCGUGAUCCGGAUCAGGGACAGUGUCUGAUGGGUAGUUUAACUGGGGCGGUUGCCUCCUAAAGAGUAACGGAGGCGCCCAAAGGUUCCCUCAGCCUGGUUGGUAAUCAGGUGUUGAGUGUAAGUGCACAAGGGAGCUUGACUGUGAGACCGACGGGUCGAGCAGGGACGAAAGUCGGGACUAGUGAUCCGGCGGUGGCUUGUGGAAGCGCCGUCGCUCAACGGAUAAAAGGUACCCCGGGGAUAACAGGCUGAUCUUCCCCAAGAGUCCAUAUCGACGGGAUGGUUUGGCACCUCGAUGUCGGCUCGUCGCAUCCUGGGGCUGGAGUCGGUCCCAAGGGUUGGGCUGUUCGCCCAUUAAAGCGGUACGCGAGCUGGGUUUAGAACGUCGUGAGACAGUUCGGUCCCUAUCCGCUGCGCGCGCAGGAACAUUGAGAAGGGCUGUCCCUAGUACGAGAGGACCGGGACGGACGAACCUCUGGUGUGCCAGUUGUUCUGCCAAGGGCAUGGCUGGUUGGCUACGUUCGGGAGGGAUAACCGCUGAAAGCAUCUAAGCGGGAAGCCUGCUUCGAGAUGAGUGUUCCCACCUCCUUGAGAGGGUAAGGCUCCCAGUAGACGACUGGGUUGAUAGGCCAGAUCUGGAAGCACCGCAAGGUGUGGAGGUGACUGGUACUAAUAGGCCGAGGGCUUGUCCUC